This 524-nucleotide ribosomal RNA is filed under the name uncultured bacterium. RNAcentral's name for it is "partial 16S ribosomal RNA". It matches the Rfam family "Bacterial small subunit ribosomal RNA", at positions 28 to 523 of the family's 1533-position model. The record is from RNAcentral.
GACGAACGCUGGCGGCGUGCUUAACACAUGCAAGUCGAACGGACAGACAGAGAGCUUGCUCUCUUGAAGUUAGUGGCGAACGGGUGAGUAACGCGUAAUCAACCUGCCCUUCAGAGGGGGAUAACAACGGGAAAACGUUGCUAAUACCGCGUACGAUUCAUGAACGGCAUCGUUUAUGAAUGAAAGGUGGCCUCGAUGUAUAAGCUAUCGCUGAAGGAGGGGAUUGCGUCUGAUUAGCUAGUUGGAGGGGUAACGGCCCACCAAGGCAAUGAUCACUAGCGGGUCAUAGAGGAUGAACGGCCACAUUGGGACUGAGACAAGGCCCAAACUACUACGGGAGGCAGCAGUGGGGAAUCUUCCGCAAUGGACGAAAGUCUGACGGAGCAACGCCGCGUUAGUGAUGAAGGUCUUCGGAUUGUAAAGCUCUGUUAAUCGGGACGAAAGAGUUCUGCGUGAAUAAUGCAGAAAAGUGACGGUACCGGAAUAGAAAGCCACGGCUAACUACGUGCCAGCCGCCGCGGUAA